This is a long non-coding RNA of Homo sapiens (human), 3046 nucleotides long. Ensembl annotates it as long intergenic non-protein coding RNA 2312. Lineage: Eukaryota; Metazoa; Chordata; Mammalia; Primates; Hominidae. The record is from Ensembl.
GACUCAAAAGAGGGCAGAGCCCUGCAAAGAAGGUCUUAUCAGCUGCUGUUUGUGGGUCUAAGAAGCUGUGAGAAGUCUGGUUCUGGGAAUGGAGAAAGAAGGUAGAGAUAGAGUCAAUUGCUGCUGCUGCUGGAGCAACACUGAAAAGGAAUAAGAAACACCAAGAAUAAAGUUCUUUUUACUCCUCCUAACUUCCUGUCUCCUUCCUGUGACUUCCAUUGGCACAACGCAACAGGAAGCCAAGGAUACCGCAGCCUGGGAAAUGGAUUUCAUAAAGGGCAACUCCAGCAACAGAUAACAGAGCAGAGAAGUGUUUCCUUGGGGCUGGGAACCCGUGAAAUCUGAUGGCACACUGGAGCGUGUCCGUGAGCGGAGGAGGGAAGUGCAAUGGGUGUGUUCACCUUUCCUUGCUGCCCAUUAAUGCAGCAUGCUCAUGAUGCCCCAGAUGCCCCAUGAAUGUGGAAUUGUGAGGGACCCGCCAGCAUGGGAGUUCAGAGAGGCUCAAAGUGAGUCCAAGGUAAGUCAUAUUUUCUAUCCAAACCAGGAUUUGCAUCAAAUGAAGAAAGAAGGCACCAGGAUUCUAACAGACACCAGGGCAAGGGACCCCCUCACAUCCUUCCUUACUCGUGUUGCUUCCCUGCAUUGGCCAACUAUGCCCAUUGAAAUUGGUGUUUAGGAGGAAAGGGGAGGGCAGGGCCCAGAUUUCCCGUUCCUCUCAGUCCCCCUCAUUCCCUGUGAGAGGAAGGUAAAGAGUGCGGAUGAAACGUGCACGUAUCAAGAAGUGAAAGGAAAACAGGUGAGCUUGUUUCGUGCAGCAUUUCCAGUGUCCUGGUAAGAACUAAAUUCAUGGACACAUAGGAACUGCAACAUAUGAACUGUGAAAUUUGGGUAAUUUUAUGUAAGAGUUAAUUGCUACUAUAGCCAAAUUUAAAAUUGUCAUGGCACAACAUAAACAGUAAAAUCCACGCUAAUAAUUUAAAGCUUAUUUUUUAGUUAGAAAAACAUGAAAAAUACAAAUAAAAAACACUACAAAAUGAGAGAAUCUGCUGAAAAAAAUGAAAACGGCUUAUGCUUUAGUCCCUUUAAUAAUACUUUUUUCCUGCUUUUCAAGUAAGGGGUUCACAGUUUUAUUUUGCACCAGGAACUAAAUUAUACAGUUGGUUCUGCCAUUGGGUUUACAAAGGUAGCUACACACCUUCAAGAGCUGCAAAGAUAAGAAAUGUUUGCUAUUCAUCCCUCAAACAUCCCUUCGAGAAGUCAAUUCUCCAUCAUGACCUCAGCCCUCAGCCUUCUCCAGUUCCUGAGAUCAGCCUUGGAGAAUGUAGAAUUGGGACCGGCCUGUCACUGGGAUUAGCAAGUCAUCAUUCCUACCAAUAAGUAGGGACCAGAAUUGUGGUAGCGUGAAUUCCAAGGAGGAUCAUCAUAUACAGUUGUGCAGGUUAUGCACUGCACCACGCCAAGCACAACAUGAACAUUCUUAUCCCUGGAAUUAUGCACUCACACAGCUGUACAUACUGGCCCUGGAAGUUGGCUUUCCUGAAUGGACCCCUAGGACUGGCCUGCUCACCAAAUCCCUUCCCUCCUUCAUGCCACCUUAUCUGAAGUUAGGAGACUGGGCCUCAGUUUCCCUGCACAACACGCUGGUUCUAUGCUAGGACUAUAUUCCAUCCUUUUCCCUUAGGUUGAUCAGACAGGUCCAAAAGAGCAGAGUUUCUACUAUGAAUGAACUACUUAGAACCAGCGUCUAAGGUCAGCAGAGACUAGAAUGCACUCUUCAUCCAGUAGCCUCCAUAACCUGGGUCUGUCACCACCACCCCCAUCAGUACAUAACCUGGGAAGUGGAUCUCAUCUCCAUGAGACCUUGAAACCUCUGCCUUCUGAGCAGUCCCUGUCCCCGGGCUUCUCCACUGCAGCUUACUCAUCGUCACCCACAGGAGCUGUUAGCUCCAGAAUCUUUACUAAAGGCCCGCAUCCUGAACACAGCCUACUACACGAGGCUGCGGCUGAGCACUCAGGACAAUCGCUCAGGACAAAUAACCCUCCCAUUGCCCUUAAACAUCCCUGGUUCCCUUUGUUCCAAUCCCAUCCUUGUGGGAUUCUGACCUCUUGGCUCUCUCAUCCAACGGGUUACCCUCCCCUUGACUCCUUUGAUUUUACUUUUUGUGGGCUCUCUUCUAACUAUGUGAACUCAGAUCCCUCUGUGAGAGUGAGUUGCACAUCUGAUUCACCUGUGGGGUUGUUAAAGGUCCAUGUGCCUGGCUCUCACCCUAGACUAUUCUAACUCAGAGUGCCCCCCAGGGAAACAAUGUAAGGUAGCAAUUAAGGACAUUGACUCUGGCAUCACAAGUUUGAGUCUAUCCUGUCUCUGCCACUCGUAAUCUAUGUGAUCUUUGGGGAUGCUUUCCCUUUCUCUGAAUCAGUUUCUUUGUCUCUAAAAUGGGAAUGAGAGUGUUAGUACAUACCCCCCAGGAUGGGCAGAAAAAUUGAAUAAGCUAAUGCAUGCAGAGGAUUCAAAUACGGCCUGGCACAUGGCAUGUGUUCAAUAACAAGUUAACUGCAUUGCUAUUAUUGUUAUCCAAAAAGUGACAGAUUUUACUUUGCCCUCCGUGUUUGGUUCUCGGUGCCUGGUUUUGCUUACUUAAGAGUCCCUUUACCUUGGUCUCGGCCAAGCAAGACCAGCCCCGCCCCUGACUCAUGGGUUUGAACAUCUAGAUCAGAUCUAGCCACUCAUCACCACCCUGGGCACCCAUGGCUUUAGUUUUCUACUGCCUCCUCUCCUACCAGUGCCAGGCAAACCUUUGCUUGUGAUUCAAAACCCAACUGGAAUGCUUGGUCUUUUCCUAAGUCUUCCUCAAUGUUCCUCUGUAUUCAUGUGCUCCUAGAAUUCUUUAUUCAGCACAUUUUAUCCUAAUUACUGGUUACUUGUCUGGCUCUUGCUUAGGCACAAAACCUGCAAUUUAACUUUCCUCUAACAUGGGACCUUAACAUGAUGCAUAUAAUAGGUGUUCAAUAAAUGAUGUUUCUUCCAAUAAAUAUCUAUUUCAUC